CGUGCGCGCCCGGCAUGGACGAGCCCCCCUCUCUGCACCCAAUCACCUGCGACCGCGUCCUACAAAACAUCCGGCCAGCACCGCCCAAACCCCCAGGUGCCCUGACUCUUGCGCUCCCACCUGGUGAUGACCGACAGAGCGCUGACAGGCACGUCCAGGGCAUGGCUGCUCCCCCGCGCCCCGCCCUCCCCAAACAUCUCUGACGGACGGUUGGCUGCAGCCCAGGAAGCACCGUCGCGCCGCGGCCUGCAUCCCAGCCCCGCCCCUCCGAGCGGGAAGGAGGGCUGUGUGGAAUGCUCCGGCUCCCUCGCCAGCCUAAACGCAAG
Molecule: long non-coding RNA, 326 nt
Organism: Eublepharis macularius
Lineage: Eukaryota; Metazoa; Chordata; Lepidosauria; Squamata; Eublepharidae
Exons: 3
Source: RefSeq, a predicted model, not a curated record